Long non-coding RNA from Syngnathus acus (greater pipefish), 233 nucleotides. RefSeq lists it as uncharacterized. Lineage: Eukaryota; Metazoa; Chordata; Actinopteri; Syngnathiformes; Syngnathidae. The record is from RefSeq and is a predicted model, not a curated record. The transcript has 2 exons.
AUCAACUUCCUGGGUCAUGCAGCAAGGAACAAAAUCCGCUUCCUGGUCAUGCGGCUUGCAAAGCUCGGUGCCAUGAACUCUACUUGUGCACUGGCAUGGAGUAACACUCAUCCCACUGGCUGACCACUCCACCGCUCGUCCCUCUGGCCGACCACUUCACCACUCGGCAAUGAGCAGAUUGCCAUCCAACUUGUUACCUCUGCAAAAGAAAUAAAACUUUAUUACAAAUAACA